CCUACGGGUGGCAGCAGUGAGGAAUAUUGGUCAAUGGGCGGAAGCCUGAUCCAGCCAAGUAGCGUGCAGGAUGACGGCCCUACGGGUUGUAAACUGCUUUUAUACGGAAAUACCUCGCCUUACGUGUAGGGCUUUGCAUGUACCGUAUGAAUAAGGACCGGCUUAUUCCGUGCCAGCAGCCGCGGUGAUACGGAAGGUCCGGGCGUUAUCCUGUUUUAUUGGGUUGAAAGGGAGCGUAGGCCGCAUGUCAAGCGUGCUGUGAAAUGGCCGGGCUCAACCCGGGCCUUGCAGCGCGAACUGGCGUGCUUGAGUCCGCGGAAAGCAGGCGGAAUUCGUCGUGUAGCGGUGAAAUGCUUAGAUAUGACGAAGAACCCCGAUUGCGAAGGCAGCUUGCUGCAGCGGAACUGACGCUGAUGCUCGAAAGCGCGGGUAGCGAACAGGAUUAGAUACCCCAGUAGUC
Molecule: ribosomal RNA, 460 nt
Filed under: uncultured bacterium
Lineage: Bacteria
Description: partial 16S ribosomal RNA
Rfam family: Bacterial small subunit ribosomal RNA
Source: RNAcentral